AUUGAACGCUGGCGGCAGGCCUAACACAUGCAAGUCGAGCGAGCGGCGGACGGGUGAGUAAUGUCUGGGAAACUGCCUGAUGGAGGGGGAUAACUACUGGAAACGGUAGCUAAUACCGCAUACCCUCAGAUGUGCCCAGAUGGGAUUAGCUAGUAGGUGGGGUAACGGCUCACCUAGGAGACGAUCCCUAGCUGGUCUGAGAGGAUGACCAGCCACCCUGUAACUGAGACACGGUCCAGACUCCUACGGGAGGCAUCAGUGGGGAAUAUUGCACAAUGGUCGCAAGCCUGAUGCAGCCAUGCCGCGUGUGUGAAGAAGGCUUUCGGUUUGUAAAGCACUUCCAGCGGGGAGGCGUUACCCGCAGAAGAAGCACCGGCUAACUCCGUGCCAGCAGCCGCGGUAAUAC
RNAcentral lists this ribosomal RNA (406 nucleotides) under uncultured bacterium. RNAcentral's name for it is "partial 16S ribosomal RNA". It matches the Rfam family "Bacterial small subunit ribosomal RNA", at positions 30 to 526 of the family's 1533-position model. The record is from RNAcentral.